Phascolarctos cinereus (koala) is the source of this 2689-nucleotide non-coding RNA. The record is from RefSeq and is a predicted model, not a curated record. NCBI's taxonomy places the organism in Eukaryota, Metazoa, Chordata, Mammalia, Diprotodontia, Phascolarctidae.
CCCUCUCACAAAGAGGGAGCUUUCCCAGAAUCUGAGAAUUGUGGUCCUAGCUAGCUUGGCUGGUUUUCUUACUUUUGUCCUGGAAAGCAGGGUUAUCUGUUGUCUCUUCUGAGCAGAGCACUGCAGCAGAUGGAUUCCACAUCAGGAAGGAGAGUGUGCUGAGCCAGCAGCUGAAGGCUGAAAAAGAAAGCUGUCCAAAGUAAGAUAUGGCCCAGGGGUUGAAAUUGGCAUGAGGGCACACUGGCAAGAUUGGGCACUGUGCCCACCAGCUACUUGGCAAGUCUACCUCCCUAUGGUGUGCUGACUAAAUAGGGCCCUUUGUCCCACGAGGAGGAGAGCUGUUAACCCCAUGGGAGCGUUUGGCUUCCCUAAUAAGGCCUUUUCUCCCUCCCCCUACUAUCCAGCAUGUACAAUAGACCAACUGUAUUACUCGACUACAAUUAGAAGUAGAAUUUCAGAGUUGGCAGAUAUCCAAAAUACCACCUGGUACAACUGUCUCAUUUUACAGGCAAAAGAAUGUGUCAAAGAAGAUUGCCAAUUGAGCUAGGAAGAGCUGCCCACUCUUUGCAAUGCAAGAAGAGAAGGAUCUGGUCCCUUCUAAAGCAGCCUCUUUGUUGGGGUACAACCAACAUCAGCUCUCCUUUGGACUUCUAUGGGGGAGUGAAGGACUUUUCUCUCCUGCCCUAACCUAGCAUCAAUGACAACCCACAGCUUAAACACAUUACAAUAGUGACUAAUACACUUGCUUGUCUAAGUAAGCCUGAAACAGAACUUCAGGGUUACCUCUGGAUAGCUGCCUUUUCUGUUUUGCAUUUCUUUUCCUAAGUAUCAGUUCCUGAAAAGCGAUCCUGAGAAAUAGAGGUUUCCAGUUUUCAUGGCUACCAUUUGAGUUUGAGAGGUAAGGAUUCACUGAAUUGGACUACCCAGUUUGGGGUGCUCCCUCCUUGGAGAAGAUGACCACGACUAGGAAGAUGAAUCACACAUGCCUGGUUGGCCAGAAGAUAUGAACCUUGAAUUGCCACUCAUAGUACAGAUCUAACGUGAAUAUUGAAAUAACUAUUCAGCAGCUGGGAGUUUUUAAUGCCUGGAAGAGUUAAAUAGAAAUGAGGCAUUAUAGUGUAUGUUUUAAAUAUGUGUUAGUACACAUGUAUAAGUCUUAUAGUGCAAAUUCUAAAUAUUUGUAAGUGAGUGCUUAUAGUUCUUUGUGUUUUAAGCAUUUCUUUUGUUGUAGAGGAAAUAGAUUCCUGCUACCCACUGCUUUGUACAUUUAAACAACUUUUCUAAAAAGGACCAUACUAGUCCCUUUGGGGGAAACUCUAGAUAAAAGACAUAUCUAAGUUUUUCUAAAAAGAGAUUUUUUUCCCCAUAGGGCUCCCAGUUGGGGUCAUAAUGUGAGUGUGAAAAAAACCCCAAUCCCUCCUUUUUUGGAGUCAGGCUCACCCAAGACUGAAUCUGGUUUGCUGGAGUCCAGAGUCAGAGUCUUAUAUGUUAGAGGAGUGUGACACAAUAUAAUAAGUUGGUUUCCAAAAGAUCUUCAAUUUUAAAAGAAUUGAAGUAAGUCUAGAGCAAUUAUGGAUAAUUAUUUUAAAUUUUAAAGAAUUAAAGUUAAUUAUCUUUGAUUUUUCUUUCUAAUUAAAAAACAAAGGUUUACUGAUAUCUUUUGUUUUUACAUUGCAUUAAUUCCCCCUUGUAUUCCUCCCCUUGUCCCUCCUGUGCCUAAUUUUAAGAAAGUGAAAUAAGAUCUCUUUGUGAUGGGCUUUACCUUGGGGCUCUGCUAAUCCUGAUUAGUGAAUAACCCUAAUAUGGCCCAUUAUAUCAGGCUGGCUGCUUCAGACCUACUUCACUUUAUUUCCUUAUCAUCUCUUCAUCAGUCAUUUUGCUGCCUAGACCUACACAAUUUAACCUUUGCAGCUCCAAGUCUCCCUCCCUGGGGCCCCUGAGGUCCUAACUGGUGACUAUCUCAGCUGCUUCAGCAAUGCCUCAUUUUACUCCCCAGUCAAUGCCUUGCAAGCUACUUUGCUACCACUGGCACUUCUUGGUUUACCCCUUCCUCUCCCUCUCCUCACUUUCCAGUUGUGGAGCUAUAAUCAAAACAAUACUGCCACUGCCACUGAUAAGGGUGUGCACACAUAGCUUCCUCAUGACUCCCCUCACUACCCUUUUAACUCUUUAAAACAAAAUACCCCUUUCUGACCAAUAGUCCCUUAUAUGUACUGAUGCCUCCAUUAGAGUGUAGGCUCUUUGAGAGCAGGCAUGGACUUUUGUUUCUUAGCACAGUGCUUGGUACAUGAUAAAUAUUUAAAGCUUUUUUAUUCAUUCAUAAAGACAUAACCAGUUUGAGAAAAUCUGCAAGUUGAAACUAAUAAAAGUAUCCCGGAGUUUUAGGGUCAACAUGGAGCCUAUAUGGAUGAUCACUUCAUCCUGCUACAUGACUCAUUGCCAUAUUCAUUCUCUCAUCCUGGGUUAUAUGAUAAUUAGGGAGAAUAUUCUGCUAUUUUCAUAUCAAUUGCUAAAAUUGCAAUUAAUUAGCUCUGAGGCCCCAUCUUAGUGCAUUAAAUAUUGUUUGUUUAACAAACUAGAGAAAUCCUUUUGCCUAUGAGCAUUACUCAUCUCGCUAUAUACAUAAAAAAAGUUUUAAACACUAAAGUUACUGCUGAUGUAAGUGAUUAACAGUAUAAUGUACAAUAAA